RNAcentral lists this ribosomal RNA (119 nucleotides) under Sorghum bicolor (sorghum). Lineage: Eukaryota; Viridiplantae; Streptophyta; Magnoliopsida; Poales; Poaceae. The record is from RNAcentral.
GGAUGCGAUCAUACCAGCACUGAAGCACCGGAUCCCAUCAGAACUUCGAAGUUAAGCGUGCUUGGGCGAGAGUAGCACUAGGAUGGGUGACCUCUUGGGAAGUCCUCGUGUUGCAUUCC